Molecule: ribosomal RNA, 498 nt
Filed under: uncultured bacterium
Lineage: Bacteria
Description: partial 16S ribosomal RNA
Rfam family: Bacterial small subunit ribosomal RNA
Source: RNAcentral
GAUGAACGCUAGCGGCAGGCCUAAUACAUGCAAGUCGAACGGGAUUGAGGAGCUUGCUCCUCAUGAGAGUGGCGCACGGGUGCGUAACACGUAUGUAACCUACCUUAAUCAGGGGAAUAGCCUCUAGAAAGAGAGAUUAACAUCGCCUAAAAUCACACUACGGCAUCAUAGAAUGAUCAAAUAUUUAUAGGAUUAAGAUGGGCAGGCGGAACAUUAGAUAGUUGGUAAGGUAACGGCUUACCAAGGCUACGAUGUUUAGGGGAUCUGAGAGGAUGGCCACCCACACUGGUACUGAGCCACGGACCAGACGCCUACGGGAGGCAGCAGUAAGGAAUAUUGGUCAAUGGGCGGAAGCCUGAACCAGCCAUGCCGCGUGCAGGAAGACGGCCCUACGGGUUGUAAACUGCUUUUGUACCGGAAUAAACCUUUCUACGUGUAGGAAGCUGAAUGUACGGUAAGAAUAAGGAUCGGCUAACUCCGUGCCAGCCGCCGCCGUAA